RNAcentral lists this ribosomal RNA (455 nucleotides) under uncultured bacterium. Its description in RNAcentral is "bacterial SSU rRNA". It matches the Rfam family "Bacterial small subunit ribosomal RNA", at positions 340 to 786 of the family's 1533-position model. The record is from RNAcentral.
UACGGAAGGCAGCAGUGGGGAAUAUUGCACAAUGGGCGCAAGCCUGAUGCAGCCAUGCCGCGUGUAUGAAGAAGGCCUUCGGGUUGUAAAGUACUUUCAGCGGGGAGGAAGGCGAUGCGGUUAAUAACCGCGUCGAUUGACGUUACCCGCAGAAGAAGCACCGGCUAACUCCGUGCCAGCAGCCGCGGUAAUACGGAGGGUGCAAGCGUUAAUCGGAAUUACUGGGCGUAAAGCGCACGCAGGCGGUCUGUUAAGUCAGAUGUGAAAUCCCCGGGCUUAACCUGGGAACUGCAUUUGAACUGGCAGGCUUGAGUCUUGUAGAGGGGGUUAGAAUUCCAGGUGUAGCGGUGAAAUGCGUAGAGAUCUGGAGGAAUACCGGUGGCGAAGGCGGCCCCUGGGACAAAGACUGACGCCCAGGGUGCGAAAGCGUGGGGAGCAAACAGGGAUUAGAUACC